UGUAAGCGUAUACCAACGUUGUUGCAGUUAAAACGCUCGUAGUCGGAAUUUGGCAGUUCCGGAAGUGUGCACGUCGUGUGCGCACUUUGCGGGGACUGCUUUUGUGGUCUUGCGUAGGAUGAGGCACUUUCAUUAGUGAACGUCCUCACGCAACCACUCUUUACUGUGAGAAAAUCAGAGUGCUCAAAGCAGGCAUUUGCCGUGAAUGUAUUAGCAUGGAAUAAUAGAAUAGGACUCGGUUCUAUUUUGUUGGUUUGUUGGGACUGAGUAAUGAUUAAGAGGGACAGUUGGGGGCAUUUGUAUUUCGGUGCUAGAGGUGAAAUUCUUAGAUUACCGAAAGACAAACUGCUGCGAAAGCGUCUGCCAAGGAUGUUUUCAUUGA
This 382-nucleotide ribosomal RNA is filed under the name uncultured eukaryote. Its description in RNAcentral is "partial 18S ribosomal RNA". It matches the Rfam family "Eukaryotic small subunit ribosomal RNA", at positions 592 to 976 of the family's 1831-position model. The record is from RNAcentral.